UACAGAGGUCCCAAGCGUUGUUCGGAUUCACUGGGCGUAAAGGGCGCGUAGGUGGCCCGGUCAGUUCGUGGUGAAAGCGCGGGGCUCAACCCUGCGUCGGCCAUGAAUACUGCCGCGGCUGGAGCACUGUAGAGGCAGGCGGAAUUCCGCGUGUAGCAGUGAAAUGCGUAGAUAUGCGGAGGAACACCGAUGGCGAAGGCGGCUCACUGGCCCGGAACUGACGCUGAGAUGCGAAAGCGUGGGGAGCAAACAGG
This 254-nucleotide ribosomal RNA is filed under the name uncultured bacterium. RNAcentral's name for it is "partial 16S ribosomal RNA". It matches the Rfam family "Bacterial small subunit ribosomal RNA", at positions 524 to 776 of the family's 1533-position model. The record is from RNAcentral.